RNAcentral lists this transfer RNA (72 nucleotides) under Paramuricea clavata. It matches the Rfam family "tRNA". Rfam says of the family: Transfer RNA (tRNA) molecules are approximately 80 nucleotides in length. Their secondary structure includes four short double-helical elements and three loops (D, anti-codon, and T loops). The record is from Rfam by way of RNAcentral. Lineage: Eukaryota; Metazoa; Cnidaria; Anthozoa; Malacalcyonacea; Plexauridae.
UCCUCGCAAGGAUAGUGGUGAGUAUCCCCGCCUGUCACGCGGGAGACCGGGGUUCGAUUCCCCGCCGGGGAG